This 77-nucleotide transfer RNA is filed under the name Escherichia coli. RNAcentral's name for it is "tRNA-Thr". It matches the Rfam family "tRNA". From Rfam's summary of the family: Transfer RNA (tRNA) molecules are approximately 80 nucleotides in length. Lineage: Bacteria; Pseudomonadati; Pseudomonadota; Gammaproteobacteria; Enterobacterales; Enterobacteriaceae. The record is from RNAcentral.
GCCGGUUUAGCUCAGUUGGUAGAGCGCCCUGCCUUGUAAGCAGGAUGUCAGCGGUUCGAUUCCGUUAAUCGGCACCA